This 211-nucleotide ribosomal RNA is filed under the name uncultured prokaryote. RNAcentral describes it as "partial 16S ribosomal RNA". It matches the Rfam family "Bacterial small subunit ribosomal RNA", at positions 355 to 583 of the family's 1533-position model. The record is from RNAcentral.
UGGGGAAUCUUGCGCAAUGGGCGAAAGCCUGACGCAGCAACGCCGCGUGGGGGAUGAAGGCCCUCGGGUCGUAAACCCCUUUCAGCAGGGACGAAACUGACGGUACCUGCAGAAGAAGGACCGGCCAACUACGUGCCAGCAGCCGCGGUAACACGUAGGGUCCAAGCGUUGUCCGGAUUCAUUGGGCGUAAAGAGCUCGUAGGCUAAUCAU